CUCCUUGAAAAAGGGUGGUAAUGCCGGAUGCUCCAGCAGACCGCAUGGUGUGUUGGGAAAGCCUUUGCGGCAUGGGAUGGGGUCGCGUCCUAUCAGCUUGAUGGCGGGGUAACGGCCCACCAUGGCUUCGACGGGUAGCCGGCCUGAGAGGGCGACCGGCCACAUUGGGACUGAGAUACGGCCCAGACUCCUACGGGAGGCAGCAGUGGGGAAUAUUGCACAAUGGGCGCAAGCCUGAUGCAGCGACGCCGCGUGAGGGAUGGAGGCCUUCGGGUUGUAAACCUCUUUUGUUAGGGAGCAAGGCAUUUUGUGUUGAGUGUACCUUUCGAAUAAGCACCGGCUAACUACGUGCCAGCAGCCGCGGUAAUACGUAGGGUGCAAGCGUUAUCCGGAAUUAUUGGGCGUAAAGGGCUCGUAGGCGGUUCGUCGCGUCCGGUGUGAAAGUCCAUCGCUUAACGGUGGAUCCGCGCCGGGUACGGGCGGGCUUGAGUGCGGUAGGGGAGACUGGAAUUCCCGGUGUAACGGUGGAAUGUGUAGAUAU
RNAcentral lists this ribosomal RNA (541 nucleotides) under Bifidobacterium breve. RNAcentral's name for it is "bacterial SSU rRNA". It matches the Rfam family "Bacterial small subunit ribosomal RNA", at positions 147 to 697 of the family's 1533-position model. The record is from RNAcentral. Lineage: Bacteria; Bacillati; Actinomycetota; Actinomycetes; Bifidobacteriales; Bifidobacteriaceae.